UGAACAUUUUUUUCUUGGUGGUAUUCAGAUC
Molecule: non-coding RNA, 31 nt
Filed under: Mus musculus (house mouse)
Lineage: Eukaryota; Metazoa; Chordata; Mammalia; Rodentia; Muridae
Source: RNAcentral